Molecule: ribosomal RNA, 468 nt
Filed under: uncultured bacterium
Lineage: Bacteria
Description: partial 16S ribosomal RNA
Rfam family: Bacterial small subunit ribosomal RNA
Source: RNAcentral
GACGAACGCUGGCGGCGUGCUUAACACAUGCAAGUCGAACGGAAAGGCCCUGCAUUUGUGGGGUGCUCGAGUGGCGAACGGGUGAGUAACACGUGAGUAACCUGCCCUUGACUUUGGGAUAACUUCAGGAAACUGGGGCUAAUACCGGAUAGGAGCUCCUGAUGCAUGGUGGGGGUUGGAAAGUUUCGGCGGUUGGGGAUGGACUCGCGGCUUAUCAGCUUGUUGGUGGGGUAGUGGCUUACCAAGGCUUUGACGGGUAGCCGGCCUGAGAGGGUGACCGGCCACAUUGGGACUGAGAUACGGCCCAGACUCCUACGGGAGGCAGCAGUGGGGAAUAUUGCACAAUGGGCUGAAGCCUGAUGCAGCAACGCCGCGUGCGGGAUGACGGCCUUCGGGUUGUAAACCGCUUUCGCCUGUGACGAAGCGUGAGUGACGGUAAUGGGUAAAGAAGCACCGGCUAACUACGUG